AAGUUGAGCGAGACUACGGAAGCCGGGAGGAUUGGGCCAGGCUUUUCCGGAGCUAAGGGCAACUGCGGCUUUGAGGCCCUGGAGAUAUAAAGGUGAAAAAAAAAACACCUGUUUUUUCCGUGGCACACAGUUCAAUGAAGAGUAGAUAUAAGAAGAAACAGAUAUGGCACAGUGUCUGAAACUGCUAUCAGACGUCUUGCCUCUUUGAAUAAAGUCUACAUGGAAGAGCUGUUAGAGAGAUACUGAAUCCCGAUGACAUCCUUUGAAAUGCUACAUGAAGCUGGGCCUGAAGAUAGAGCUACUGCUAUAGUUUUGGGAUACUUGAGUCAAUAAAUUCCCUUGUUUGCUUAGACAAGCUUCAGUUAGAUUUUAUGUUACCUGCAAGAGUACUAUAUUGGAUAUUUUCCAUUUGCCCUCCCAGAUUCACUCUCUACUCUUCUCCAUCCUCUCUGUGCCCCAGGGGACUGACUGACCUAUCUGGACUGCAUCAAAGAGUUCUUUGUCCCUCUAGCUUCUGGUUGUGUUCAGCCAAUGGAAAUCUCCCUGAAGGCUGAAAUCGGGGCAUUUUUUCCACAUUUAUUCCCAAGGGACUCUCACUGGUAGAUAAUAAAAUGUUGGCUAGUCUCUCUUGCAGAGGCUGUAGAUCUGUCAAGUGCCCUUCU
Molecule: long non-coding RNA, 662 nt
Organism: Camelus dromedarius (Arabian camel)
Lineage: Eukaryota; Metazoa; Chordata; Mammalia; Artiodactyla; Camelidae
Exons: 3
Source: RefSeq, a predicted model, not a curated record